AGUCGAGGGGUAACAGGGAGCUUGCUCCGCUGACGACCGGCGCACGGGUGCGUAACGCGUAUGCAAUCUACCUUUUACAGGGGAAUAGCCCAGAGAAAUUUGGAUUAAUGCCUCAUAGUAUAUUAGAGUGGCAUCACUUUAAUAUUAAAGAUUUAUCGGUAAAAGAUGAGCAUGCGUUCUAUUAGUUAGUUGGUAAGGUAACGGCUUACCAAGACUACGAUAGAUAGGGGCCCUGAGAGGGGGAUCCCCCACACUGGUACUGAGACACGGACCAGACUCCUACGGGAGGCAGCAGUGAGGAAUAUUGGACAAUGGGCGAGAGCCUGAUCCAGCCAUGCCGCGUGCAGGAAGACUGCCCUAUGGGUUGUAAACUGCUUUUAUACAGGAAGAAACACUGCUACGUGUAGCAGCUUGACGGUACUGUAAGAAUAAGGAUCGGCUAACUCCGUGCCAGCAGCCGCGGUAAUACGGAGGAUCCAAGCGUUAUCCGGAAUCAUUGGGUUUAAAGGGUCCGUAGGUGGAUGAUUAAGUCAGAGGUGAAAUCUUGCAGCUCAACUGUAAAAUUGCCUUUGAUACUGGUUAUCUUGAGUUAUUAUGAAGUAGUUAGAAUAUGUAGUGUAGCGGUGAAAUGCAUAGAUAUUACAUAGAAUACCAAUUGCGAAGGCAGAUUACUAAUAAUAUACUGACACUGAUGGACGAAAGCGUGGGUAGCGAACAGGAUUAGAUACCCUGGUAGUCCACGCCGUAAACGAUGGUUACUAGCUGUUCGGACUUCGGUCUGAGUGGCUAAGCGAAAGUGAUAAGUAACCCACCUGGGGGAGUACGUUCGCAAGAAUGAAACU
Molecule: ribosomal RNA, 842 nt
Filed under: bacterium W15M1
Lineage: Bacteria
Description: bacterial SSU rRNA
Rfam family: Bacterial small subunit ribosomal RNA
Source: RNAcentral